RNAcentral lists this ribosomal RNA (1403 nucleotides) under Escherichia coli. RNAcentral describes it as "partial 23S ribosomal RNA". It matches the Rfam family "Bacterial large subunit ribosomal RNA", at positions 1252 to 2640 of the family's 2925-position model. Lineage: Bacteria; Pseudomonadati; Pseudomonadota; Gammaproteobacteria; Enterobacterales; Enterobacteriaceae. The record is from RNAcentral.
GAAGGUGUGCUGUGAGGCAUGCUGGAGGUAUCAGAAGUGCGAAUGCUGACAUAAGUAACGAUAAAGCGGGUGAAAAGCCCGCUCGCCGGAAGACCAAGGGUUCCUGUCCAACGUUAAUCGGGGCAGGGUGAGUCGACCCCUAAGGCGAGGCCGAAAGGCGUAGUCGAUGGGAAACAGGUUAAUAUUCCUGUACUUGGUGUUACUGCGAAGGGGGGACGGAGAAGGCUAUGUUGGCCGGGCGACGGUUGUCCCGGUUUAAGCGUGUAGGCUGGUUUUCCAGGCAAAUCCGGAAAAUCAAGGCUGAGGCGUGAUGACGAGGUACUACGGUGCUGAAGCAACAAAUGCCCUGCUUCCAGGAAAAGCCUCUAAGCAUCAGGUAACAUCAAAUCGUACCCCAAACCGACACAGGUGGUCAGGUAGAGAAUACCAAGGCGCUUGAGAGAACUCGGGUGAAGGAACUAGGCAAAAUGGUGCCGUAACUUCGGGAGAAGGCACGCUGAUAUGUAGGUGAAGUCCCUCGCGGAUGGAGCUGAAAUCAGUCGAAGAUACCAGCUGGCUGCAACUGUUUAUUAAAAACACAGCACUGUGCAAACACGAAAGUGGACGUAUACGGUGUGACGCCUGCCCGGUGCCGGAAGGUUAAUUGAUGGGGUCAGCGCAAGCGAAGCUCUUGAUCGAAGCCCCGGUAAACGGCGGCCGUAACUAUAACGGUCCUAAGGUAGCGAAAUUCCUUGUCGGGUAAGUUCCGACCUGCACGAAUGGCGUAAUGAUGGCCAGGCUGUCUCCACCCGAGACUCAGUGAAAUUGAACUCGCUGUGAAGAUGCAGUGUACCCGCGGCAAGACGGAAAGACCCCGUGAACCUUUACUAUAGCUUGACACUGAACAUUGAGCCUUGAUGUGUAGGAUAGGUGGGAGGCUUUGAAGUGUGGACGCCAGUCUGCAUGGAGCCGACCUUGAAAUACCACCCUUUAAUGUUUGAUGUUCUAACGUUGACCCGUGAUCCGGGUUGCGGACAGUGUCUGGUGGGUAGUUUGACUGGGGCGGUCUCCUCCUAAAGAGUAACGGAGGAGCACGAAGGUUGGCUAAUCCUGGUCGGACAUCAGGAGGUUAGUGCAAUGGCAUAAGCCAGCUUGACUGCGAGCGUGACGGCGCGAGCAGGUGCGAAAGCAGGUCAUAGUGAUCCGGUGGUUCUGAAUGGAAGGGCCAUCGCUCAACGGAUAAAAGGUACUCCGGGGAUAACAGGCUGAUACCGCCCAAGAGUUCAUAUCGACGGCGGUGUUUGGCACCUCGAUGUCGGCUCAUCACAUCCUGGGGCUGAAGUAGGUCCCAAGGGUAUGGCUGUUCGCCAUUUAAAGUGGUACGCGAGCUGGGUUUAGAACGUCGUGAGACAGUUCGGUCCCUA